UACGUAGGUGGCAAGCGUUAUCCGGAUUUAUUGGGUUUAAAGGGUGCGCAGGCGGAUUUUUAAGUCAGCGGUCAAAUCGUGGGGCUCAACCUCCGCCCGCCGUUGAAACUGACGGUCUUGAGUGGGCGAGAAGUAAGCGGAAUGCGUGGUGUAGCGGUGAAAUGCAUAGAUAUCACGCAGAACGCCGAUUGCGAAGGCAGCUUACCGGCGCUCAACUGACGCUGAGGCACGAAAGUGCGGGUAUCGAACAGG
This 252-nucleotide ribosomal RNA is filed under the name uncultured Bacteroidales bacterium. Its description in RNAcentral is "partial 16S ribosomal RNA". It matches the Rfam family "Bacterial small subunit ribosomal RNA", at positions 524 to 776 of the family's 1533-position model. Lineage: Bacteria; Pseudomonadati; Bacteroidota; Bacteroidia; Bacteroidales. The record is from RNAcentral.